RNAcentral lists this ribosomal RNA (163 nucleotides) under uncultured bacterium. RNAcentral describes it as "partial 16S ribosomal RNA". It matches the Rfam family "Bacterial small subunit ribosomal RNA", at positions 355 to 511 of the family's 1533-position model. The record is from RNAcentral.
UAGGGAAUCUUCGGCAAUGGACGAAAGUCUGACCGAGCAACGCCGCGUGAGUGAAGAAGGUUUUCGGAUCGUAAAACUCUGUUGUUAGAGAAGAACAAGGAUGAGAGUAACUGUUCAUCCCUUGACGGUAUCUAACCAGAAAGCCACGGCUAACUCGUUCCAG